Bos taurus (domestic cattle) is the source of this 1044-nucleotide long non-coding RNA. NCBI's taxonomy places the organism in Eukaryota, Metazoa, Chordata, Mammalia, Artiodactyla, Bovidae. The record is from Ensembl.
AGGUGCCAGCUAACUACCAAGCUCACACCUGUGAAGCCCGUGCGCCCGUCUCAAAUGAGCUUCAAAGAUUAAAAUCCUCCCGGUCCCUUCCAGAAAUAUCCCUGCUGGAUCGCUGCCAUGUAGGUAGGGAAUAGGGUGGGAUUCUUGGGAGAGCAGUCAGCGGCAGCACAGAGCAGAGGAUCCCCAGCGGGUGCGGGUCCCUGGCAGCGCCGAAAGAGCAGCAGGAAAACCUUGGGCUCUGACGGCCCCUGGACCUCUGAUCUCCCUACACCUGCAGUCUUUUCGUUACCAGGGAUUCAACUGGACCGCGGAGAUACCUUGGGCAGCCCUGAAAUUAUGCGAUUUGAGGACACGCUGUCAACUCUUAUCCCGAGAUCACGCCGUAGAGCCAGACUGCUUCUCCAGUUCUGAACUGGCCCGGACCCGGGCGGUGGUGGCCAGGUGUUGGGAGCUGGGCAAGGCAAGCCAGACCGCCCGAAGGACCUUCGAUCAGGCAUCCCCUCCAGCUCGGCGCAACCCCGCAGGCAACAGACGUGCCAGGUGAAGGAAGAGAAGAGCAGAGGCAACAGUAAUUCAGUUUCACUGCACUGUUUCCCCAGAUCCGACAGGCACAAGUGAUUGGUCUCCCUGCCUCUCUCUUUCGGGGCUGCUAAGCUAGCUGCGUUCUGCCGGAAAAACACAUCGCCCAGACCGAGCGCAGCGUUUGGAGACCUCGGAAUUACCCCCCGACCUGGGCCCGAUAGCACAGGCAGCAGGGCGAGGGACACGGGAGCGCGGCAUCGCCGAGUGGCUCUAUGAAGCGCGGGACCCUGGGCGCUCGCGGUUGAGCCCGGGUCCCAAGGACAGGGCAGAGGUGGGAGGACCCGGGCUUACGGGAGCACAGCCGCUCCUGCAAGCACCCCCCGCAAACCCAGUCCUCGCUGCCGCUUAGCCCCAUCAAGGUGCGCCUCCUCGGUGCGGAGUCCCACCUACCUCCCGCCACCCCGCUGACCUCAUAAACAACUUCGCUAACCGCAGAGGGCGGAGGCGGGGCGGGCGGGCCGC